Molecule: unclassified non-coding RNA, 253 nt
Filed under: fungal sp.
Lineage: Eukaryota; Fungi
Description: partial internal transcribed spacer region
Rfam family: Eukaryotic small subunit ribosomal RNA (bases 1-46)
Source: RNAcentral
AAGUCGUAACAAGGUUUCCGUAGGUGAACCUGCGGAAGGAUCAUUAACACUCCUGCUCUUGUAACCCGCGUAGUUCGCAAUCUCUGAUAAAUCAUAGCCCGGAAAGUUGUAGUGAUUCAGAGACCUCUGGCUACGUGCGAACAUUGGAACAGUUACAAUCGAGCGGUAGUUCUAUAGGCAAUGUUUCCCCAAGCAGUCAGUGUCGGAAAGUGUCAUUGAUUGUGCAAGGAUAACAAUGGAUAUCCUGGUUCUC